This 26-nucleotide non-coding RNA is filed under the name Mus musculus (house mouse). The record is from RNAcentral. Lineage: Eukaryota; Metazoa; Chordata; Mammalia; Rodentia; Muridae.
UGCGCAAGUCACUGACUCUGUUAGGC